This 254-nucleotide ribosomal RNA is filed under the name uncultured bacterium. RNAcentral's name for it is "partial 16S ribosomal RNA". It matches the Rfam family "Bacterial small subunit ribosomal RNA", at positions 524 to 776 of the family's 1533-position model. The record is from RNAcentral.
UACGAAGGGGGCUAGCGUUGCUCGGAAUUACUGGGCGUAAAGGGCGCGUAGGCGGAUCGUUAAGUCAGAGGUGAAAGCCCAGGGCUCAACCCUGGAAUUGCCUUUGAUACUGGCGAUCUUGAGUACGGGAGAGGUGUGUGGAACUCCGAGUGUAGAGGUGAAAUUCGUAGAUAUUCGGAAGAACACCAGUGGCGAAGGCGACACACUGGCCCGUUACUGACGCUGAGGCGCGAAAGCGUGGGGGAGCAAACAGG